AGAGUUUGAUCCUGGCUCAGAUUGAACGCUGGCGGCAUGCCUUACACAUGCGAGUCGAACGGCAGCACGGGAGCAAUCCUGGUGGCGAGUGGCGAACGGGUGAGUAAUGUAUCGGAACGUGCCCAGUCGUGGGGGAUAACGUAGCGAAAGUUACGCUAAUACCGCAUACGAUCUUUGGAUGAAAGCGGGGGAUCGCAAGACCUCGCGCGAUUGGAGCGGCCGAUAUCAGAUUAGGUAGUUGGUGGGGUAAAGGCUCACCAAGCCGACGAUCUGUAGCUGGUCUGAGAGGACGACCAG
This 297-nucleotide ribosomal RNA is filed under the name uncultured bacterium. RNAcentral describes it as "partial 16S ribosomal RNA". It matches the Rfam family "Bacterial small subunit ribosomal RNA", at positions 8 to 307 of the family's 1533-position model. The record is from RNAcentral.